This is a non-coding RNA of Pelobates cultripes (western spadefoot toad), 1283 nucleotides long. The record is from the annotation of a GenBank genome assembly. Lineage: Eukaryota; Metazoa; Chordata; Amphibia; Anura; Pelobatidae.
CAGAGAGACAGCUGUCAGCAUCACCCAGUGUGUGUGUCUGUGUGCAUUACAGAGGCUGUUAGUGUGCCUAUAUCUUAGUGUGUGUGUGUGUGUGUGUGUAUCAGUCUGUCACAUCAGGCUGCUGGUGUAUGUAUGUGUGUGUAUUUGUGUCACAGGACAUGCUGGUCUGUGCCAACAUGGAUGCGUCAAUGGUAGGUGGUAUGUCAGGAGUGAUAGGUGUGUGUGAGGUGGCUGUUGUGUGUCAGGGGUGGUCGGUGUGUGUGUGUCAGGGGUGGUCGGUGUGUGAGACGUGGUUGGUCUGUGUGUGUCAGGAGUGGUCACUGUGUGUGACAAGUGGUUUGUUUAUUUAAGGGGUGGUCGGUAUGGGCAUGUCAGGGUUGUGUAAGGUGCUUGGUUUGUAUGUUAUAGAUGGUCAGUGUGUGUGUCAGGUGUGAUCGUGUGUGAGAGGUGGUUUGUGUGUUUCAGGGGUGGUCGUUAGUGUGUGUGUGAGAAAGGUGGUUGAUGUUUGUGUUUCAGGGGUGAUCGUGUGUGAGAGGUGGUUUGUGUGUUUCAGGGGUGGUCAGUGUGUGCAUGUGGUAGUUAGUGUGUAUGUCAGAGGUGGUCAGUGUGUGUGUGUCAGGGGUGAUCGUGUGUGAGAAGUGGUUUGUGUGUUUCAGGGGUGGUCGGUAUGGGCAUGUCAGGGGUGAUAGGUGUGUGUGAGGUGGUUAGUGUGUGUGUUUGUCAGGGGUGAUCGUGUGUGAGAGGUGGUUUGUUUGUUUCAGGGGUGGUCGUUAGUGUGUGUGAGAAAGGUGGUUGGUGUUUGUGUGUCAGGGGUGAUCGGUGUGUGAGAAGUGGUUUGUGUGUUUCAAGGGUGGUCAGUGUGUGCGUGUGGUAGUUAGUGUGUGUGAGAGGUGGUUGGUGUGUGUGUGAGAAGGGGUUUGUGUGUUUCAGGGGAGGUCGGUAUGGGCAUGUCAGGGGUGAUAGGUGUGUGUGAGGUGGUUAGUGUGUAUGUCAGAGGUGGUCAGUGUGUGUGUGUGUCAGGGGUGAUCGUGUGUGAGAAGUGGUUUGUGUGUUUCAGGGGUGGUCGGUAUGGGUGUGUCAGGGGUGAUAGGUGUGUGUGAGGUGGUUGGUUUGUAUGUUAGAGGUGGUCAGUGUGUGUGUCAGGGGUGAUCGUGUGUUCGAGGUGGUUUGUGUGUUUCAGGGGUGGUCAGUGUGUGCGUGUGGUAGUUAGUGUGUGUGAGAGGUGGUUGGUGUGUGUGUGUGAAGUGGUUUGUGUGUUUCAGGGGUGGUCGGUAUGGGUGUGU